Molecule: long non-coding RNA, 453 nt
Organism: Lycium ferocissimum
Lineage: Eukaryota; Viridiplantae; Streptophyta; Magnoliopsida; Solanales; Solanaceae
Exons: 2
Source: RefSeq, a predicted model, not a curated record
AGAGUGAACCUGAGCAGUCACUAUCAAUUGUCUGGUUUGGCUUUGCUUUCUAAAUAUUGACACUUCCCCUCUUAUAUCUCCAUUUUCCUUCCAUGUCUUUCUUUCAAUUUUUUCAAAAUCUUCUUGAAGGUUCUCUAUUCAUUUUACUUACUCCAUAUUGGGUGUAACGCAUCCCGUUGAUGACAAUCGGUGGCUGCUGGAAAAGGAUGAAGAAGAAACAGUCAUCCAGAAGCCUCUUCCUUCUCUACUGCAACUUCGGGACAGCCCACUAUUUCGAAUUUCAUCCCUAAAAGAACUAAGUUUUAUGGGUGCAUUUUUUUUUCUUGUGGUGUAAUUUUUUACGAAUUUGUAUUAAGGAUUUUGAUUCUAACCUAGAAUUUGAAAUUUGGGGCUUUAUAAUUCAAGUAGAGUUUUGCUUUAUUGAUUUGCAAUGAACUCUUUGCCUUUGAUUUU